CGUGUCCUUGAAAAGUUAAUUUUGUUUUAUCUCUGGAUAUAGGAGGCUUCGCAUGACAAUGGAAGUUAAAAGCUUCCCAGGAUUUUGCUAAUCCAUAACCUAACACUGACCGUUGCUUCUGAAACUUCCAUAGAAGAAUGGCAAGAAGUUAAGAGACGAUUUCCUGUACUUGUAUAAGGAGCAAAAAAGUGUAUAAUGAAUACAUAUUUUUAGAAGCUCCAAAGUAGAAGAUGAAUGCAGCAAAUUGACAAAAGGGAACACACAAUUGAUCAUGGCU
RNAcentral lists this long non-coding RNA (277 nucleotides) under Oryctolagus cuniculus (rabbit). RNAcentral's name for it is "lncRNA (ENSOCUG00000037496.1)". The record is from RNAcentral. Lineage: Eukaryota; Metazoa; Chordata; Mammalia; Lagomorpha; Leporidae.